Molecule: long non-coding RNA, 241 nt
Filed under: Anser brachyrhynchus (Pink-footed goose)
Lineage: Eukaryota; Metazoa; Chordata; Aves; Anseriformes; Anatidae
Description: lncRNA (ENSABRG00000022433.1)
Source: RNAcentral
CUGAGAUUAAACACUGCUAUGCUGUUGCUUCUAGACUUGCAUGUUUUUGCUAUCCUACCUGUGUCAAUGUUAGUGGCUUUUUGGAGUCAAAUAGGUGGGGUGUGGGACAGGAUGCCUUGCUGAUACCUGGAGCGGUGGUGUUCUGCAGGAAGGACAGGAGGAACACAGCUGCUCCAAGACAUGCUUUUGGCACAGCAAAGGAACUAAUGAACGAGAUGCUUAUGAGCUUAUGCAAUGGAGA